This 353-nucleotide ribosomal RNA is filed under the name Haemaphysalis longicornis (longhorned tick). Its description in RNAcentral is "partial 12S ribosomal RNA". Lineage: Eukaryota; Metazoa; Arthropoda; Arachnida; Ixodida; Ixodidae. The record is from RNAcentral.
AUACCCUAUUAUUAAGAAAAAUUAUAUUGUUAGUAUAUAAAUUGUAUGAAAACAAAAAAUUAUGGCGGUAUUUUAAGCUUUUCAGAGGAAUUUGCUCUUUAAUGGAUAAAACACCUAAAUCUUACUAAAUUUAGUUAAGCAGUUUGUAUACCACUAUUUAAGUAAUAAUUUGCUAUUAUUACUAAAAUUUAUAUUAAUUAAAAAAAGUUAAGUCAAGGUGCAGCAUAAAUUUUAGUAUGAAGUGAAUUACAUUUCUUUUAAGAAAAAUUUGUUGAAAAUAAAAUUUAGGAUUUGAAAGUAAAAUUUUAAUAGAAGGAAAAUUUGAAUUAAGCUCUAAAAUAUGUACACAUCGC